AUUCCAGCUCCAAUAGCGUAUAUUAAAGUUGUUGCAGUUAAAACGCUCGUAGUCGGAUUUCGGGGCGGGCCGACCGGUCUGCCGAUGGGUAUGCACUGGCCGGCGCGUCCUUCCACCCGGAGACCGCGCCUACUCUUAACUGAGCGGGCGCGGGAGACGGGUCUUUUACUUUGAAAAAAUCAGAGUGUUUCAAGCAGGCAGUCGCUCUUGCAUGGAUUAGCAUGGGAUAAUGAAAUAGGACCUUGGUGCUAUUUUGUUGGUUUCGAGCACCGAAGUAAUGAUUAACAGGGACAGUUGGGGGUAUUCAUAUUUACAUGUCAGAGGUGAAAUUCUUGGAUUUUGGAAAGAUGAACUACUGCGAAGGCAUUUACCAAGGAUGUUUUCAUCG
This 388-nucleotide ribosomal RNA is filed under the name Gephyrocapsa sp. RNAcentral describes it as "partial small subunit ribosomal RNA". It matches the Rfam family "Eukaryotic small subunit ribosomal RNA", at positions 582 to 975 of the family's 1831-position model. Lineage: Eukaryota; Haptophyta; Isochrysidales; Noelaerhabdaceae. The record is from RNAcentral.